Molecule: microRNA, 22 nt
Filed under: Heliconius melpomene (postman butterfly)
Lineage: Eukaryota; Metazoa; Arthropoda; Insecta; Lepidoptera; Nymphalidae
Description: Hme-Mir-3-P17_3p (mature (guide))
Source: RNAcentral
UCACUGGGUUUGACAGAUCUUA